This 253-nucleotide ribosomal RNA is filed under the name uncultured bacterium. Its description in RNAcentral is "partial 16S ribosomal RNA". It matches the Rfam family "Bacterial small subunit ribosomal RNA", at positions 524 to 776 of the family's 1533-position model. The record is from RNAcentral.
UACGUAGGGAGCAAGCGUUGUCCGGAAUCAUUGGGCGUAAAGCGCGCGUAGGUGGCCCCAUAAGUCCGCUGUGAAAGUCGAAGGCUCAACCUUCGAAAGCCGGUGGAUACUGUGGGACUAGAGUACGGAAGAGGCGAGUGGAAUUCCUGGUGUAGCGGUGGAAUGCGCAGAUAUCAGGAGGAACACCAAUAGCGAAGGCAGCUCGCUGGGACGUUACUGACACUGAGGCGCGAAAGCGUGGGGAGCGAACAGG